RNAcentral lists this ribosomal RNA (558 nucleotides) under Aspergillus fumigatus. RNAcentral describes it as "eukaryotic LSU rRNA". The stretch from base 196 to 349 matches the Rfam family "5.8S ribosomal RNA". The record is from RNAcentral. Lineage: Eukaryota; Fungi; Ascomycota; Eurotiomycetes; Eurotiales; Aspergillaceae.
AGGAUCAUUACCGAGUGAGGGCCCUCUGGGUCCAACCUCCCACCCGUGUCUAUCGUACCUUGUUGCUUCGGCGGGCCCGCCGUUUCGACGGCCGCCGGGGAGGCCCUGCGCCCCCGGGCCCGCGCCCGCCGAAGACCCCAACAUGAACGCUGUUCUGAAAGUAUGCAGUCUGAGUUGAUUAUCGUAAUCAGUUAAAACUUUCAACAACGGAUCUCUUGGUUCCGGCAUCGAUGAAGAACGCAGCGAAAUGCGAUAAGUAAUGUGAAUUGCAGAAUUCAGUGAAUCAUCGAGUCUUUGAACGCACAUUGCGCCCCCUGGUAUUCCGGGGGGCAUGCCUGUCCGAGCGUCAUUGCUGCCCUCAAGCACGGCUUGUGUGUUGGGCCCCCGUCCCCCUCUCCCGGGGGACGGGCCCGAAAGGCAGCGGCGGCACCGCGUCCGGUCCUCGAGCGUAUGGGGCUUUGUCACCUGCUCUGUAGGCCCGGCCGGCGCCAGCCGACACCCAACUUUAUUUUUCUAAGGUUGACCUCGGAUCAGGUAGGGAUACCCGCUGAACUUAAG